CCGGGAUCGCCACCUGUCAGCGCGUUGCGCCCACAGGUGCCGUUCUG
Molecule: small RNA, 47 nt
Filed under: uncultured Cypionkella sp.
Lineage: Bacteria; Pseudomonadati; Pseudomonadota; Alphaproteobacteria; Rhodobacterales; Paracoccaceae
Description: ffh sRNA
Rfam family: ffh sRNA
Source: RNAcentral